CGACCUCAGCUCAGGCGGGGCCACCCGCUGAGUUUAA
Molecule: ribosomal RNA, 37 nt
Filed under: Tamarindus indica
Lineage: Eukaryota; Viridiplantae; Streptophyta; Magnoliopsida; Fabales; Fabaceae
Description: partial 28S ribosomal RNA
Source: RNAcentral